UGAGGUCACUGUUUGCCCCUCGUCCACCAAGCGGAUGCCCCUUACCCGGUUUACACAAUUUCCUUAGCUUGGUGGAGGCCUGAGAGCUACACUAUGCUGUUGUGCCGUGCCUAAAAGGGGGGUUUCGGAGCCGUUUCUACUCCCAUCACCAGCCUGCUGGUCGCGGGGACGGCAGGGACUGGACUGGCUCGCCCUUACCUUGGCUCAAUUCAGGCACUCAUGACUGAGGGCAUGACCCUUGUCCACCACUGGCGUCUGGGUCCAUUCCCGACUCUCAAUGGGGGCGGCUUCAAGAUGGCGGGCCACUCGCCUUGCCUAGCCCGGGACACCGGCCUUCAGCUGUCUCGCGCCCUCACCUGUGCCGUGGAAAGGUUAAGUACCGAAUGAAUCACUAAUGAACGCCGGCUAGGGCUAUCUCUCACUCCCAGACACUCAGGACUCUAGCGAGCGGUGAGCUUACCUGUGCCGUGGAAAGGUUAAGUCCCGAAUGAAUCUCGUCAGGCCGAGCGGUUAACUCGUGACCUUUCCCCUGACGUGGCCACCUCAAGGUUCCAACACUUUUCCUUCUCGCCUUUCAGCUUGGUACAUUAAUAUAUCCUUCUUCUGCCUUUCUGAGGUUGUCUUUUUGUAUGUUAAUUCUAAACUUAAUGUCCCCUUAAUUUCUAAGUCCUAACGUAUAAAUAUAUAUAUAAAAAUAUAGGGAUUCGGCUGGAUUUAUAUCAGGGGUGCCAACCCAAGCAAGCUUUCUCGCCCUCCUCCCUUAUCUACUUAUGACAUAUUAACCUCUACGGGUAUUGUUUCGGCUGAGGAGAAACUGGAUCCGGUAAAUAAUCAUGGCCAUGUACAAGGGAUUAUUCCCAAUUUUCCCAGUUGGCUUUUAACUGGCUUCUGCGGUGUUGGUAUGCCGGCAGGUAUGUUACAAUAGUGUCACCUCCCUUAAGAUCCUAGUUUCUCCCGAAGCCUAACACCUUCCUUCCCAAAGGCACUAUGUUGUUAUACUUUGGAUAUCAUUACUCAACCAUCUCUACCCUCCUUCUCCUAUCAGGCGUCCGUGUGGCACAGAGACAGCGACUUAGCACUGCUCCAUGAUUUCAACAAUACAACGCCUACCCUAACACGGUAGUACCAUAAUACAACAAGGGCCUGCCCAACCUAACGGCUACCCUGGGGCUUACUUCCUACGGGUAUUCUAUACUAGAAUCCCGUUUCCUGCUUAAACAAAAGCAAAGAUGCCUCACCUGGCAUGGCUCGAUUAUCUGUCAUGGGUCCACUGCCCCAGCCUUCCUCUUAGUAACCUGGCUACAGGUAAGGAGUGUCAGACGAGACUAGCCUCCCUCGCUCUCGUUCCUAAGGUUAAACACAGUGCACCCUUGACCUUACAUAACCAACAAAAAUUGUAACAAAAUACACUUACAAAUCAAAACACAAAAUAUAAAUAAUCCUCACAUAUACAAAAACAAAACAUAAAUAUGUUCAUACACCCACUGACAUUUUCGCCAUCCGUUUCCGCAGCAAGGCGUGCAUAAGUUUAGUUCAGCGCCUAGGAAGUCCUGAAGUGAAUGUCCCCGUACCAGAUUGGGUAGACUGUAAGCUGCGUGCUGCUGCACGACUUAUAAUUAAAGCAGUAGAUUUCAUGACAUUAAUAAAUCGAGGCGGACGGAAGUUUCACCCUAACACAAAUGUCACAUUCGUGGAUACACUACCACUAGUGAACUAUUACUCUUUCUCCGGGAGCUUCGGCUUCACCCUUGCCUAACCCCGGUUCAUUCCAAAACAUCUACAUGUGCCCAGGUUUGCCUGACGUUGAUGUAGGUGGUUGAGAAUAUUAUCUUUCAUUACUUACAAUACAAUAGAUACCAUAUAACACUAGAUACCUUAGGGCGAACGAUACUAUUCUUCCAAAACAUCCUGUUCAUUUUUAUGGCUAAGAAAGGGGGAAGUAUAAUCACAUGAAUCUUGGAGGGAAACGCAUUGGGGAAGUUAAUGAAUAUGGGCUCGAUCCCACUUUACCAUCAGUCCCCGGGGACGUUAGGGUAAUUCAUUACCGUCUCCAAAGGUGUUUUCCUUACCGCAAUUACUUAACACUCCCUUUCUUUACCACUUACAACCCAUAACAUAAAACAUUAGUUACAUCCUUAUCUUUCUUUCCAGCAAUCCUACCUCUUACAGCUUAGGUUAACAUCAAACUCCCUCAACACACUUCAAUGUAUCUACGUGGCGGGCUGCGGACUCUAGGGGGUGAUGGUUCUUCCUCUUCUUCCUCCUCAGGAAGAUUUAUCUCCUGUGCCCCCACUAACCACUCUUCCGUCCCAUUGUACGGUUUUACCUUUUCUGCGGCCCUCUGAAUCUCCUGUCCAGUAAACACAUUGGUCAACACGUAUGCACCACCAUUUCUCAUAACUUCCACAACCCACUAGUGCAUGGUUGUGUUACUUCCACUCUAACCCACACAAGGGUACCUGCUUCCACCUUUUGGUUUUUAAGCGUUCUAUUCGCGACUGCUCUGUAUCUGCGAGUCAUUUUCUGGUGAGUUUCUUUGAUUAUCUCGUGGGCUUCACGGAUACCUUCCUCACUCGCUUCCGUGUCCGGUAAAUCACUACUUAUCAAGCGAGGGGGGGGGUCGUGAAAAGAACGCAUAAUAAGGGGAGACACCGGUGGUUGUGUGUACGGCUGUGUUCAAUAUGGAUUGACACUGUAACAAUAGUUUUGGCCACCUUAACGGGUACCCUUGACAUAGACAGGCUAACACACUUUUCAUGGUGCGGUGCAUACGUUCCGUAAUACUGUUUCCUUGAGGGUGAUGGUACGGGGUCGUCAGAGCGGCCGUGAUUUUAUAUCUGCCACACAGGUCUCGAAAACUUUGCGCGGUAAACUCUUUCCCAUUAUCCGUUAACACUGUUUUUGGCGUUCCGAAAUCACAAAUAUUGCACAUUUCACAUGUCAAAGAGACUGCUCCGUAAUUUAGUGGUUCAAUUUUAUCUCCACUUCCAUAAAUUGGUACAAUGUGCGCUCCUUUCCAUUCUAAGGGCAGUUUUUCCGUAUUUAUAGAGCAUGUUAUUAUGUCAUAAAGUGGUUCCAAUAAUUUAAUUAUACACCCUUUUAGCACUUGUCCCGAGAUUCCAUCUGGUCCCAUCUUAGUAUGUUCUUAGUAUAUAUUUAUAUUAUUCAAGUAUAUAUUUAUAUUAUUCAAAUAGACAUGUUUCGGUAUAUCCAGGACUUUCUACAUUAUCAGUCUGUUAUUUGCUAUAACAUGGCUCUGAGGAGAAGGUCACUCUACCAAAUGAGCCUGUACACUUACUUUAACAUUGUUUGCUCAUUGGCUGAUAUUAUAUAUCGACCAAGAAUUGGCAGACAAGGUAUGUGGAUUAGCUGCACAUACAUUUUUUUUAAAACAAAAUAUCCAAUGAAAUGCCUAUAUAUAUAAUAAUUGCUCAUGCCAACAGGUGGAGGACCCCCUAGAGAGGAGUUCUCCCAAGUUGAGGAGGCCCUGCUCGACCUUCUUUCUCCCACAGGGUAUGCAAGUCUGCCCAUUCCUGACAGCGAAGGUGGUUCUUUUAAUGCAGCUGGUGCUACACAGUGCCUUCCCUCCCAGGCUCUGGGUCCUGCUCAAGAAGGUACCCAUCCCUCCACAAGUGGUACACCGCAGGGAGAGUUUACUGUCAUGGUGAUUGAAGGCAAGGAGCGGAGAAUCCCAAUAAUAUCUGAUAGCAGCCUUGAGUCAAGGUUCCAUGGAGGAGAUUAAGGUGGCACCUCAGCUUCUUAAUGUAAAUGAAGUACGGGACCUUAUUUCCGACCUUGUGGGGACUCGAAGAG
Eriocheir sinensis (Chinese mitten crab) is the source of this 3813-nucleotide long non-coding RNA. RefSeq lists it as uncharacterized. The transcript is spliced from 3 exons. Lineage: Eukaryota; Metazoa; Arthropoda; Malacostraca; Decapoda; Varunidae. The record is from RefSeq and is a predicted model, not a curated record.